GCAAAAAUAGCUCAAUGGUAGAGUAUAACCUUGCCAAGGUUAAUGUUGA
RNAcentral lists this transfer RNA (49 nucleotides) under Phytophthora infestans (potato late blight agent). RNAcentral's name for it is "partial tRNA-Gly". It matches the Rfam family "tRNA", at positions 1 to 48 of the family's 71-position model. From Rfam's summary of the family: Transfer RNA (tRNA) molecules are approximately 80 nucleotides in length. Their secondary structure includes four short double-helical elements and three loops (D, anti-codon, and T loops). Further hydrogen bonds mediate the characteristic L-shaped molecular structure. tRNAs have two regions of fundamental functional importance: the anti-codon, which is responsible for specific mRNA codon recognition, and the 3' end, to which the tRNAs corresponding amino acid is attached (by aminoacyl-tRNA synthetases). tRNAs cope with the degeneracy of the genetic code in two manners: having more than one tRNA (with a specific anti-codon) for a particular amino acid; and 'wobble' base-pairing, i.e. permitting non-standard base-pairing at the 3rd anti-codon position. The record is from RNAcentral. Lineage: Eukaryota; Oomycota; Peronosporomycetes; Peronosporales; Peronosporaceae.